CCCUUGCUGGUCUGAUGGCUAGGAUUCCUGGCUACCCAUCUCAUCCAGGCCACCCAGGUUCAAUUCCCGGGCAGGGAA
This 78-nucleotide transfer RNA is filed under the name Cervus elaphus hippelaphus. RNAcentral describes it as "tRNA-Gly". Lineage: Eukaryota; Metazoa; Chordata; Mammalia; Artiodactyla; Cervidae. The record is from RNAcentral.